ACUAGUUCUACAUAAUGUAAGCAUAUUUCUGUCAAAAAUGUUAAUUGUAACCUAGGAUAGUUGGGUCUUUCAGAUGUGUUGAAGACCUUUGGGACAAUUUUUUUUUUUUUUGAUUGGCAAACACACAAAAAACAUAUAUUAGAAAAGGGCCCCUUGAGGCAGACCUAAAAGCAUACAAGGAGUAUACAAGAGACGCCCAAGGGCAUAAAAGAAGCGGAAAUACAAUACCAGCCCUCACCUAGCACCUAGCCAAUAAAAAAAACUGAGUAAAGAGAGAGAACCAUCAUUUACAACCGACUUAGUCCAUAACCAAAGAUUACAAACAAAAAUUUUUUUCAACCUAUGCAUCGAAAGCUCCUCAUUAUCAAAAGCAAUCCUAUUUCUUUCCUUCCAAACCACCCAAAAAAUACACAAAGGGGCUGCCUUCCACACCUUUCUACGCUUUUUGCCCAAUUUAAAGCCACCCCAACUACUAAGGGUAUCUCUAACCGAAUAAGGCAGGACCCAAAUAACACCAAAAAGAGCAAACAAUAACUCUCAUAAUACUCUUGCCCUGGAGCACUGAAUAAGAAUAUAAUCAAUAGACUUUUCUUCCUCACAACAAAGAAAGCAUUUGUUAGCUAAAUACCGACCCCUCUUUUUGAGUUGAUCCAAAGUUAGCACCUUACCCCAAAAAGUUUCCCAAGCAAAGAAACACACUUUAGUAGGCACACAAGGAUUCCAAAUAAUGUUGAUAGGGAACUGAACAACUCUUCUUGAAACUAAAAUACUAUAAAGAGAUUUAGCUGAGAAGAUCUCAUCCUUUGUCUCUUUCCACAACAUUCUAUCUUCCAUAAGAGGAUUAAGCCUCCUACCCCGGAUUGUCAAAAGUAAUCUCUCCACCUCCUCCACCUCCCAGUCAUUAAAGGGCCUAGAGAAGCUAGGACUCCAAACCCCUUCUCCUCCCGAAUGAUCCCACAUCUCCUCUAUCCAAGCCUCUUUAUAUGUUGCAAAGGCAUACAAAGACCUUUGGGACAAUUGAAUCAUAACUCGGUGGCUUAGCAAUGAAGAACAUCACAAAAUCCAAGUGUUGCACCCAAUUGUUAGGAAGUUGUUCCCUGGCAUACAGGGCAGAAAGCACCGGAGCUGUAACAGGCA
Molecule: long non-coding RNA, 1137 nt
Filed under: Vitis vinifera (wine grape)
Lineage: Eukaryota; Viridiplantae; Streptophyta; Magnoliopsida; Vitales; Vitaceae
Description: long non-coding RNA (VVIN_LNC001844)
Source: RNAcentral